Molecule: long non-coding RNA, 1910 nt
Filed under: Strongylocentrotus purpuratus (purple sea urchin)
Lineage: Eukaryota; Metazoa; Echinodermata; Echinoidea; Camarodonta; Strongylocentrotidae
Description: uncharacterized LOC115919755, transcript variant X2
Source: RNAcentral
UUUUCAGACUUCUUUUUACCUAUUUGCGAGUACUAUUUUCUUCCUAUUUUUUGCACUUAAAUUUUUUAUGACAUGAUACAAAUUUGUGAACUAUUUUUUGUCUAUUUUCUAAACUUGCAUAUUUUCAUUGUUUAUGACUGGCAUCCUAUUCAAAAAGCCCGCUUCUCCUGCCAUUAUCUCUGUUGUUCAUUUUGCGACUUAUUGGUUGUUUUUAGCUGUGGGGUCACAUAUUGAAUAGUGAGCUCAAAGAUGACCAUAAAUAAACAAUGUGUAAAAAGAAAAUGUACGAAAUUUCAAUUUUGUUCCUUUAUUAAUAUUCUUGAUUUUAUUUACAAACUAUAGUAGUGACUAGUGCACUCAAAGAUAACCAUACAUAAACCAUGUGUAAAAAGAAAAUGUACACAUAGAAAUUUCAACCAAAAAAAAUCUCCUUUAUUAAUAGAAAAAAAAGCAUUCGAUCGAGAUAUUCCCGUUCUAUGUGUGCGCAAAGUUUCAACGUAGAGGACAGUACGCAAGUACGUAAUUUGAAAAUUACCCGUUAUUUUUUUCCCCCCACUGACACUGCUGUGCGCAUCGGACUUUUGCUGAUUUUCGUUCAUCAAACGUCUCCAAAUCACACCAAAAUGUCUUCCAGCAAUUAUUCUAGCGAUGAAAUUUCAUCAAGAGAUAGUGACUCCUCAUACUCCGAUGCCUCCUUAUCCCAUUUUAGUGAUUCUUCCCAAGAAAAUGAGCCCGACUAAUGUUCAAAAUAUUACUACUAGUCCCACUCGUAGAGAAACGAGUUUGUUGUCGAAUUACGGACCAUCGACGAGCGGAACUGGCCCCAGAAAACAGCUGAAAAGGAAUCAGAAAACACAACGCAAGAAGAAGAGCAAGUCUUCCAAGUCCGAGAGUGUGUCUGCGAGAUCAAUUGAAACUAAUCAAGCUACAAUGUACAUGUAACGUACAACCACCAUUCGAUGCCUGUGAACAGCAUGACCAACAUCUGUAUCCUUUACAUUAGUAUUUGUUUCCAUUUUAUUAUGUAAUUCUUAUGUCUAAUCAUUGAGAUUCAUAGGCAAGUACAACAUGUAUGUGUACACAAUGAGUGCCUGCAUAUUGUGAAGAUAAAGGACCAUACAGUAAGACCAUUACUUAUGAUACAUGGUAAUGAUGGUAUACUUUGUAAAACUAUUUGAAAAUAGUAGCAUGUAAGUCUGUCAUUUUCUUGUUUAUAUAUAUCUCAAUGACAUGACAUGUCAUUGAUUUUGUAGUAAGUGUUUCUAGAUUAUGAUGAUUGUAUUAAGAUUUUGACAGUUCAAUUGAGAUUGAGAAAAUUAUGUAACAUGUCAACUGUACAAUAGAGCAUGCAUGCAUUGUUGAAAAAUCUGUUUUAUGAUUUAUUUUAUUUUGUUAUCUUUGUAAAUAACGAGAAUUUUUUUUUUACUUGUCAUGAUUUUCUUGAGGUUUGAAAAUGUUAUUACAUUAUUAAGAGCACUUUGCAAUUAAAUUGUAAUAAAAGAGACAGAAAACAACACUCUCAUGUCAAGAAUACUGCUUUAUUUGGUUACUAGUGAGGGAGAGAGCUUGUGAUCGCCUGGCAUAUCCACAUCGGCUCAGUAAUAGUCCUGAAACUCACCUGAAUACUUUAUUUGAACAAAAAUAGAAAGCUACAUUCUAGGUGGAUGAUAUUUUUUUAAGGCGGAGGCAUAUAGGAGACGCAGUCGCAUUUGUCUUGUUUUUGUUUUUUUAGAGUAUAAUCAUAGCAAACCAAGAACAACUCUAUUACUACAACAUGUACACUACAGUACUUAACCAAAGAUUGUAAAUAUCAGUUAAGUUCUUUUAUUUAUUUGCUUAUAUGAACACACAUACUAUACUAAACUCAUGUCAUUGUGUUUACCUCUCGAAAAUAAAGUACAUGUAUUUUA